GAUGAACGCUAGCUACAGGCUUAACACAUGCAAGUCGAGGGGAAACGAUAUUGGAAGCUUGCUUCCGAUAGGCGUCGACCGGCGCACGGGUGAGUAACGCGUAUCCAACCUGCCCACCACUUGGGGAUGACCUUGCGAAAGUAAGACUAAUACCCAAUGAUAUCUCUAGAAGACAUCUGAAGGAGAUUAAAGAUUCAUCGGUGAUGGAUGGGGAUGCGUCUGAUUAGCUUGUUGGCGGGGUAACGGCCCACCAAGGCGACGAUCAGUAGGGGUUCUGAGAGGAAGGUCCCCCACAUUGGAACUGAGACACGGUCCAAACUCCUAGGGGAGGCAGCAGUGAGGAAUAUUGGUCAAUGGGCGAGAGCCUGAACCAGCCAAGUAGCGUGCAGGAUGACGGCCCUAUGGGUUGUAAACUGCUUUUAUAAGGGAAUAAAGUGAGUCUCGUGAGACUUUUUGCAUGUACCUUAUGAAUAAGGACCGGCUAAUUCCGUGCCAGCCGCCGCCGUAA
Molecule: ribosomal RNA, 508 nt
Filed under: uncultured bacterium
Lineage: Bacteria
Description: partial 16S ribosomal RNA
Rfam family: Bacterial small subunit ribosomal RNA
Source: RNAcentral